GUGCUUGCUUCGGCAGCACACAUACUAAAAUUGGAACAAUACAGAGAUUAGCAUGGCCCCUGCAUGAGGAUGACAUGCAAAUUCGUGAAGCAUUCCAUACAUGU
Molecule: small nuclear RNA, 104 nt
Organism: Pan troglodytes (chimpanzee)
Lineage: Eukaryota; Metazoa; Chordata; Mammalia; Primates; Hominidae
Source: Ensembl